CCUACGGGAGGCAGCAGUGAGGAAUAUUGGUCAAUGGACGCGAGUCUGAACCAGCCAAGUAGCGUGAAGGAUGACUGCCCUAUGGGUUGUAAACUUCUUUUAUAUGGGAAUAAAGUGUUCCACGUGUGGCAUUUUGUAUGUACCUUAUGAAUAAGGAUCGGCUAACUCCGUGCCAGCAGCCGCGGUAAUACGGAGGAUCCGAGCGUUAUCCGGAUUUAUUGGGUUUAAAGGGAGCGUAGAUGGGUUGUUAAGUCAGUUGUGAAAGUUUGCGGCUCAACCGUAAAAUUGCAGUUGAAACUGGCAGUCUUGAGUACAGUAGAGGUGGGCGGAAUUCGUGGUGUAGCGGUGAAAUGCUUAGAUAUCACGAAGAACUCCGAUUGCGAAGGCAGCCCACUAAACUGCAACUGACACUGAGGCUCGAAAGUGUGGGUAUCAAACAGGAUUAGAUACCCUUGUAGUC
This 460-nucleotide ribosomal RNA is filed under the name uncultured bacterium. RNAcentral describes it as "partial 16S ribosomal RNA". It matches the Rfam family "Bacterial small subunit ribosomal RNA", at positions 338 to 795 of the family's 1533-position model. The record is from RNAcentral.